This 350-nucleotide long non-coding RNA is filed under the name Olea europaea subsp. europaea. Lineage: Eukaryota; Viridiplantae; Streptophyta; Magnoliopsida; Lamiales; Oleaceae. The record is from RNAcentral.
UAACUCAAUUAAUAAAAAAUCAAAUAAUAAUUUAGAAGCAAAAAUGUUUGCAAUACUAUCUACACAACGGUGCGAGGUGGAGUACCUUAGUUGAACAGAAACUGAAAAGAGAUGAAAUCCUCUUCUCUGCAAACGCCAACACCAAAGUGCUUUGCCCGAUAAAUGUGUUUCACGAGCCGGAUCCAUUCCUCCUCCCAGAUUGCUGCGGUAUUGCACAAAAAUCAACUUCUCCGGGCAGUUUUGCACAGAAAUCUGGACGAUUUUCUUCUCCAAUUGUACCGUACAAAUUUUCUUCUCCCAUUGCCGAUCAUCGUUCCGUUUAUCUAUCUAUAGCUGCCGACUGUCGUUUG